ACGAACGCUGGCGGCGUGCUUAACACAUGCAAGUCGCACGGUAAGGCCCUUUCGGGGGUACACGAGUGGCGAACGGGUGAGUAACACGUGGGUGAUCUGCCCUGCACUUUGGGAUAAGCCUGGGAAACUGGGUCUAAUACCGGAUAGGACUACGCGAUGCAUGUCGUGUGGUGGAAAGCUUUUGCGGUGUGGGAUGGGCCCGCGGCCUAUCAGCUUGUUGGUGGGGUGAUGGCCUACCAAGGCGACGACGGGUAGCCGGCCUGAGAGGGUGUCCGGCCACACUGGGACUGAGAUACGGCCCAGACUCCUACGGGAGGCAGCAGUGGGGAAUAUUGCACAAUGGGCGCAAGCCUGAUGCAGCGACGCCGCGUGGGGGAUGACGGCCUUCGGGUUGUAAACCCCUUUCAGCACAGACGAAGCGUAAGUGACGGUAUGUGCAGAAGAAGCACCGGCCAACUACGUG
This 463-nucleotide ribosomal RNA is filed under the name uncultured bacterium. Its description in RNAcentral is "partial 16S ribosomal RNA". It matches the Rfam family "Bacterial small subunit ribosomal RNA", at positions 29 to 507 of the family's 1533-position model. The record is from RNAcentral.